GACGAACGCUGGCGGCGUGCUUAACACAUGCAAGUCGAACGCUGAAGCCUAGCUUGCUGGGUGGAUGAGUGGCGAACGGGUGAGUAACACGUGAGUAACCUGCCCUCUUCUUUGGGAUAACGCCCGGAAACGGGUGCUAAUACUGGAUAUUCACUGGCCUUCGCAUGGGGGUUGGUGGAAAGGUUUUUUCUGGUGGGGGAUGGGCUCGCGGCCUAUCAGCUUGUUGGUGGGGUGAUGGCCUACCAAGGCUUUGACGGGUAGCCGGCCUGAGAGGGUGACCGGUCACAUUGGGACUGAGAUACGGCCCAGACUCCUACGGGAGGCAGCAGUGGGGAAUAUUGCACAAUGGGCGAAAGCCUGAUGCAGCGACGCCGCGUGAGGGAUGGAGGCCUUCGGGUUGUAAACCUCUUUCGCUCAUGGUCAAGCCGCAACUGUGGGUUGUGGUGAGGGUAGUGGGUAAAGAAGCGCCGGCUAACUACGUGCCAGCAGCCGCGGUAAUACGUAGGGCGCGAGCGUUGUCCGGAAUUAUUGGGCGUAAAGGGCUUGUAGGCGGUUGGUCGCGUCUGCCGUGAAAUCCUCUGGCUUAACUGGGGGCGUGCGGUGGGUACGGGCUGACUUGAGUGCGGUAGGGGAGACUGGAACUCCUGGUGUAGCGGUGGAAUGCGCAGAUAUCAGGAAGAACACCGGUGGCGAAGGCGGGUCUCUGGGCCGUUACUGACGCUGAGGAGCGAAAGCGUGGGGAGCGAACAGG
RNAcentral lists this ribosomal RNA (751 nucleotides) under uncultured Actinomyces sp. Its description in RNAcentral is "bacterial SSU rRNA". It matches the Rfam family "Bacterial small subunit ribosomal RNA", at positions 28 to 776 of the family's 1533-position model. The record is from RNAcentral. Lineage: Bacteria; Bacillati; Actinomycetota; Actinomycetes; Actinomycetales; Actinomycetaceae.